UGCUGGAGGUAUCAGAAGUGCGAAUGCUGACAUAAGUAACGAUAAAGCGGGUGAAAAGCCCGCUCGCCGGAAGACCAAGGGUUCCUGUCCAACGUUAAUCGGGGCAGGGUGAGUCGACCCCUAAGGCGAGGCCGAAAGGCGUAGUCGAUGGGAAACGGGUUAAUAUUCCCGUACUUGGUGUUACUGCGAAGGGGGGACGGAGAAGGCUAUGUUGGCCGGGCGACGGUUGUCCCGGUUUAAGCGUGUAGGUGUGUGUUCCAGGUAAAUCCGGUUCACUUUAACACUGAGGCGUGACGACGAGGCACUACGGUGCUGAAGCAACAAAUGCCCUGCUUCCAGGAAAAGCCUCUAAGCAUCAGGUAACAUCAAAUCGUACCCCAAACCGACACAGGUGGUCAGGUAGAGAAUACCAAGGCGCUUGAGAGAACUCGGGUGAAGGAACUAGGCAAAAUGGUGCCGUAACUUCGGGAGAAGGCACGCUGACACGUAGGUGAAGUGAUUUACUCAUGGAGCUGAAGUCAGUCGAAGAUACCAGCUGGCUGCAACUGUUUAUUAAAAACACAGCACUGUGCAAACACGAAAGUGGACGUAUACGGUGUGACGCCUGCCCGGUGCCGGAAGGUUAAUUGAUGGGGUCAGCGCAAGCGAAGCUCCUGAUCGAAGCCCCGGUAAACGGCGGCCGUAACUAUAACGGUCCUAAGGUAGCGAAAUUCCUUGUCGGGUAAGUUCCGACCUGCACGAAUGGCGUAAUGAUGGCCAGGCUGUCUCCACCCGAGACUCAGUGAAAUUGAACUCGCUGUGAAGAUGCAGUGUACCCGCGGCAAGACGGAAAGACCCCGUGAACCUUUACUAUAGCUUGACACUGAACAUUGAGCCUUGAUGUGUAG
Molecule: ribosomal RNA, 887 nt
Filed under: Salmonella enterica
Lineage: Bacteria; Pseudomonadati; Pseudomonadota; Gammaproteobacteria; Enterobacterales; Enterobacteriaceae
Also listed under: 5 other names
Description: bacterial LSU rRNA
Rfam family: Bacterial large subunit ribosomal RNA
Source: RNAcentral